GUGCGGCAGCCAGGGCGCCCCCGGGUGGGCAGAGGCUGGGUGUGGCUGAGGGGCAUGGACGGGGGGUAUGACCUGGAGAAGGGCUCUGCUUCUGGGCCUUCGUGUCCUCGCCAUUAAAACGAGGGCCUCUGCCCAUCCAGCUGGGCUUCAGUCCUCCCGAGGCCUUCCCUCACUUGGCUCAGCUUCCGGGGCACCCACCCAGACUGAGUGGUACCUGGCCCCUGCCCCCUUGAGGGGCUCCUGUCCUCCCAGCGUGACCACACGUGGGUGCCACCGCCCCUCAGCAUCUUCUCCUGCCUCAGCCUCCUUCUGCCUCCCCCAACCUGGUGACUGUCACCCACCGAACCCUGUGAGCAUCCCCUCUGAGCAGUGUGCGUGGGUUGGGUCAGCCCGUUGAGAGGAGGCUGUGGGAGGUGAGGAAAGUAGCCAAGCCCAAGCCUCCAAGAAUGUGCCAAGCAAGUGCAAGGCCCUGAGUUCAAUUCCCGGUACCAAAACAAGAAAAAAGAAUGUGCCCAGCAGAAGGGCCACCAGGGCUGACGGAGAAUGUCCAGGGUUAGGAGCAGAGCGAUCCAGGGGCCAGGGGCAGAGGUGACGGUCAGAGAAGAAGGGGUGGGGGAGCUGGCCUCCCCCUGGGCCUCAGGGCAGGCAGCGGACUCUGGAGACGUGGUUGGACAUGCUUGGAAGAAAGAGCAGAAAAGUUUGCCCAUGGCCUGAUGCAGGCUCUCAAGGGUGGGAGGAGCCAAGAGCAACCCCAAGGUCGUGGCCUGAGUACCACAAGGACGGCACUGAGGGCAGCCCUGUGGUCAGGAGUGGCCUUCUUAGUCACCCAGAGCCCUGUCGGCUCACAUCGGGCCCACGUCCACACCAAGCAUGUUGCACUGGGACCCGCGGGUGCUCAAAAUACACGGUGAAUGUUUGCGUUUUUUAAAAUGUGUUACAGUAAGACACAUUGCCACUAAUCCCCCUCAGACUCUUCUCUCUCACUUCAAACACACUCAUCCCAUCAUUCCUGCCGCUUUCUGAAGCAGUUCUGGGAGUCGUCUCUCGUGCCUUUAUGAGGUGUGACCAGAAAUACAGUGAAUGCUGCUGCCGAGCAGAAAGGGUCAUAAAGACCACACUGGGGACAUGGACACAGCCAUGGCAGCACAACGAAAGACACUCGUGGGACAGGACUUGCAGAGCUGCUGCAGAAAGAGGCAAGGAUGGGAUAAGGAAUUCUUUGAGCGGGAUUAAUGGCAAAGCAUCUUUUACUGUAAUGAACCUUUUAAAUUAAACAUUGGCUGUAUUUUUCCAUCGCACCUUGUAAAUGUGAGGAGAGGCAGUGUGCGGAGAGGAAGCUGAGGUCAAGAACACGGGAGCCAGGUGUCAGCACAGAGCGGGCCUCACUGGGCGGACGCAGCCCGGAACACAAGAGGACGCUGCAGAGCCCCUCAUGGUGGGGUCGCAGGGGAGCUCCUGUGUUGCUCCUUGUUUCGUGUCUCGUCCGCUGUCCUGUUGCGGGUGUCGCUGAAGGUAGAGCUGCCUCUACCCUGGCUGCCUGUUUCUGAGGGCCUCCUGGCCCCGGAGCGCAGCCCUGGGGGUGUGGCCGCAGUCACAAGGCCGAGGCCGGCGGCAGGUGGGAGGCCAGCACAGGUGGGUCCAGUGCUGCUGGCGCAGGUGGGCAGGGCUGGCACUUGGAAAGAGCGGGACUGAAACCAGCGGAGAAUAAAGACCUUUUGCGUUUCUGGAGCCUCACAUUGGCACUGCGGGGCCAGCUGGCUCACAGGCCAGGCGCCCAGUCUGAACUGGGAUGAGCUGUCAGACAAUGAAUCCCCUCUCCCUCAUCUCUUAUCAGUGUCACGCUGCGUGUUUAGCCAGUGUCAACACAAAGGUCACCGCGUGUGGCUGCCACCACCCCACUCUCAGGCCCAUCUCUGUUUCUCCUGGGCUCCUCUCCCAGGUCCUCAUUCCUGAUUCCUGAUCCCUGAAGCAGCUGAGGCUGGGUGAGGCCCUCAGUUCCUUCAUGGACCCCACUCGAAUAGCUGUAGCAAAUUCAGCAGUUCAGGAAGUGCCCGGCUUGUUUGUGAUGGCUUUGACACAUUCCCAAAAGGACACCCACUGGGUGGCCUGGCUUGCAGAGCCCACCGAGGCUGUGGACAGAAGAAAGUGCGUGCGGGGAGCAUUGUAAAGCCAGGUUUGCUAAGAAACAAGCCACUCGUCACCUGGAGAAAACGCCCCUAUUGGCAAUGCUGGCGGGUUUCUGCCGUCCGUUCAGCCCUAGGUCAACCCGAAUCUCCCCCUGGAGUCCCUCAUUCCUGUCACUGGGGAGAUAAAAAUGUUGUUAUUGCUAAUGUCAUCAAACACAAAGUCGUGCCAAAGUAAUCCUUGGAGGGGACACAUGGGAGCAGCCCCAGCCUGCGAGCCCUGCCCUCCUCAGAAGAGCCUGGAACCAUGGAGCCUUAGCCCGGAUGCCGAGAGCCUGCAUGGUCACUUGGGUGAGGCUUGCUUGGUGUCCAGCUUGCUCGGUGUCAUGCUUAUCUCAAGUCCUGUCAGCAGCUACUUCCUGCACGGUGGGGCAGCGCUAGGUUGUGGCUGUGGCAGAAAUGAUUGCACCCUAAGCCCAGGAGGAAGGAGCAGACGGUCAUCGCAGGGCGUGGGUGAGUCAUGCCUCGGGCUCCACAGGGCACAGCCCGUAAGCCAAAUAUCAGGCUGCUAACCUUCCCAGAAAGGCAAAUAGGUGGUGGCAUGGAGUCUGAUCUCUGCAAACAGCCGGGAAUUCCCGAGACGAUCAGUGAAAGAUCUCUCAGUGACAGACAUGGGCGGCCGAGGCUCAGGGGAGAAUGGCAAGAAGAGGAACUUGGAAGCCCCUCAGCUGGGCCACUUGGCACACACACGGGCAACUCCAGGCUGAAGAAACAAGGUGAAAACAGGAAAUCGGCUCCUGCUCAGGGCCUGAAGGUUGACUGUUGUCCAAGAUCCUGACAGGGGUCUCUGGAGCCCUCGCCUCUGGGCCCUGUCACUCGGGCGUCACCACCUUCUUCCUCCACGUCAUUUCCGUCACCGCAUUGGCCAUUCCCCCAGGAGGACCUCCAGGCGCAGCAGCACAUUCCUCUCCCUCAUCAUCAUUCCUGAGACAGAUCCAUGUCACCAGGACUGGGAUCAUGGACUUGCUCCUUGUCACUGUGAAUCCCUUCCCCUCCUUCCCCAGUUGUCCCCUGGGAAACCCUGGUUUCCUCGGUUGCCAUGAUGUCUGUCAUCUAGGUCCUCCUUGGACUCUCUCUUCAGUCAUCAGGAGCACAUCCUGCAGCUGCUUUCUCAGGAGUGUCUUGGGGUGUACAUUUGGUAUCUGAGAACGUGCCACUUGGCUGUGGGUAAAACCCCAGCUCCCACGCUCCCUGCAGGAUCCCAGGAACGUUGCUCCCCAGGGUGGACAGCACGAUGCCAUGCCACCACCCCUGAGACACAUGACCGUGCCCCAGUGCCAAGAGUCUGGCAACGUUUUAGGCUCUGGCAAAGGAGAAUGAAGGUUGCGGGUAGCAUCGGGGCUGCUGGUAAGCUGAGCUGGACCUGGGGAAUUGCCCUGAAUCUUCUGCGUGGGCCCAGUGCAUGGCAGGAGCCUUAUAAAUGGGAGGCAGAGGGAAGCAGGAUAGAAAGAGGUCAGACUGAGCCCUGCCAGAAGACAGCACCUGGCCAGCUUUGGGGAUAGAGGUCCCUUCGGAGACUGGGACAGGCCCGGGACUGGCUCUCCCCAGCCCGCCACACCUUCAUUUCAGCUCCAAAGCCCCUGGCUCAGACACGGGCAUCCAGCCCUGCAGUCUGGUCCCCAGAACUGUAAGAUGCAGCACCUCCGCCAAGUCAUGGUUCAGAGUUCAAGGCCUCAGUCAUUCGAGAAUUUUUCCUUAGAACCUAGUAAUUGAGGAAACCCCUGACACUUGGGGGAAACCGCAAAGAUCCUCCGCAAUUGUUUUUUUGGCGGAAGGUUAGCAAGUAGCCAAUCCGAGAGCACUAUUCAGUUCUCCUUGCUGCUGAUUGGCUGCUGCCCGGUGCCAUCUCCAUGUAACCGGCUGCAUGCUCUGGGUUUUGUUCUCUUAAAGCCUCAAGGUCCCUAAGGUGCCGCCAAAACGCCCUGCACCUUCUCAGGCUUUAUUAAUACAGAAUUUAUUACAUUAAAUCACCUAACUGCAGGAGACAUUACAUAUUUAGGGCUUAAACGAUAAAAAUAGGCAUUGAUAGGCAUUUUUGUGACCCUAUCUGAAACUUGCAGUUUUUGACAGUUCUUGGGUGCUCUCGGAAUGUGAACCCCCCCCCCCAAAUUUCAGGGAUCCAUUGUCGUUGUUUUGGGCCCAGAAUGUGUGAAGUCUUGUCUGGCGGUGCAGGAUGCGAAUCCACUGCUCAUCACUUCUGGCUUGGCCUUCUGCAGAGGGGGCGACUGCUCCUCACCACAGCAGCCGGUUCUGCCCACCCAGCGUCCAGCAACACCUUCAUGUGGGGGCUCCCACUCUCUGUGGCUGCUGUUCUCAGGCUGGGAGCAUCUUCAUGCCUCCCUGGCAUGAUCCCUGCUUGUGUGGCACAGCCGGAAACUCACGUCCCACCCAGCUGUGCCAGACGUGCAGGCCUCUUGCUUCCUGCCUGACUCGGGUCUCCCAUCACAGCUCCCGACGUGGUGUCCCACGGUGACCCAAGAUCACUUACUCCAUGCCCCUGGGGCCCCACUGCCCAGGACCUACUUACCCCUGGGGGUUCGCUCUCCUCUCUGUUGCCACCACUGCGUUCCUUUCUCUGCACCCUGAAGGGAAAAGCAAACUGAAUUCAAAACCAGCAGUUCUCAAGCCAUUAAGCCUCAGGUUCCCUUUCCAUUGUUAAAUUACCAAGAACCCCCAACAGUGUCAUGUAUGUGCAUUACAUCUAUCAAUAUGCACCACAUUAGAACUUAAAAUGAGGAGUUUUAUCUAUUCAUUCACUUAAAAAUAACAGCAGUAAGCCACUUCCAUAUUAACAGAAACAUCAUUUUUAUGAAAAAUAACUAUUUUUCUGAAACAAAAGCAUGACUGAGAAGAGUGGCUUUGAUCUACAUUUUCAAGACCCCCUUCAACAUCUGGCAUAGCAGGACACAGAAGAAUUCCAGCUUGCUCUGCAUGCGGUGUGCUUAUGAACAAAGCGUUUGAAGAAAAUCUAGCCUAAUACACAUCUGUGGCUGGGCAAUGGAGGAGUAGAGCCUUUUUCCAGAUGAUUAUGGACACUAUGUUUCAUUACUACUUGAAAACCCAGCACUUGGAAGUUUCCUCAAGGUUAGUUGUGAUGUGGACUCAAAUAUCGCAGACCUUUGCCUGCUGUUACUUUGACUCACUGGCCUGUCUUGCACUUGGAGUGAAUCUCCUACCCGUGUGUGAUUUUUGUGACACUGCACACUGUCAUUUAACAAACACUGUCUCUCUGAGUAAUGCAGGUCCCCGAAUUAACGUACCUUAUUAUGCAUGACAAAGGGAAACCACAGAACUCACUCCAGGUUGGAAACUGUCAAGCUCAGAGACAAAGACAUGAGUUUUCCAACACGCUACUUUGUGAUUGAAACUUUUGGUUUUGUCAGUGGCAAUAAAUGCUCUGGUUCUUUUCCUCGAA
Non-coding RNA from Heterocephalus glaber (naked mole-rat), 5598 nucleotides. The record is from RefSeq and is a predicted model, not a curated record. NCBI's taxonomy places the organism in Eukaryota, Metazoa, Chordata, Mammalia, Rodentia, Bathyergidae.